This 87-nucleotide transfer RNA is filed under the name Thermoplasmata archaeon. Its description in RNAcentral is "tRNA-Leu". It matches the Rfam family "tRNA". Rfam says of the family: Transfer RNA (tRNA) molecules are approximately 80 nucleotides in length. Their secondary structure includes four short double-helical elements and three loops (D, anti-codon, and T loops). Further hydrogen bonds mediate the characteristic L-shaped molecular structure. tRNAs have two regions of fundamental functional importance: the anti-codon, which is responsible for specific mRNA codon recognition, and the 3' end, to which the tRNAs corresponding amino acid is attached (by aminoacyl-tRNA synthetases). tRNAs cope with the degeneracy of the genetic code in two manners: having more than one tRNA (with a specific anti-codon) for a particular amino acid; and 'wobble' base-pairing, i.e. permitting non-standard base-pairing at the 3rd anti-codon position. The record is from RNAcentral. RNAcentral also lists the same sequence under 8 other names. Lineage: Archaea; Methanobacteriati; Thermoplasmatota; Thermoplasmata.
GCAAGGGUAGUCAAGCAUGGCCAACGACGCUAGCUUGAGGGGCUAGUCCUUAGUGGUCCGCGAGUUCAAAUCUCGUCCCUUGCACCA